RNAcentral lists this ribosomal RNA (416 nucleotides) under uncultured Glomeromycotina. Its description in RNAcentral is "SSU rRNA". It matches the Rfam family "Eukaryotic small subunit ribosomal RNA", at positions 675 to 1092 of the family's 1831-position model. The record is from RNAcentral. Lineage: Eukaryota; Fungi; Glomeromycota.
AUGCACUGGCUUCGCUGAUUCCUCCUUUCUGAAGAACUGUAAUGUCAUUAAUUUGGUGUUGCAGGGAAACAGGACUGUUACUUUGAAAAAAUUAGAGUGUUUAAAGCAGGCUAACGCUUGAAUACAUUAGCAUGGAAUGAUGAAAUAGGACGUUAAUCCUAUUUUGUUGGUUUCUAGGAUCGACGUAAUGAUUAAUAGGGAUAGUUGGGGGCAUUAGUAUUCAAUUGUCAGAGGUGAAAUUCUUGGAUUUAUUGAAGACUAACUACUGCGAAAGCAUUUGCCAAGGAUGUUUUCAUUAAUCAAGAACGAAAGUUAGGGGAUCGAAGACGAUCAGAUACCGUCGUAGUCUUAACCAUAAACUAUGCCGACUAGGGAUCGGAUGAUGUUAUUUUUAAUGACUCAUUCGGCGCCUUACG